This 1395-nucleotide ribosomal RNA is filed under the name uncultured bacterium. RNAcentral's name for it is "partial 16S ribosomal RNA". It matches the Rfam family "Bacterial small subunit ribosomal RNA". The record is from RNAcentral.
AGAGUUUGAUCCUGGCUCAGGAUGAACGCUGGCGGCGUGCUUAACACAUGCAAGUCGAACGAAGCGCUUUUAUUUGAUUUCUUCGGAAUGAAGAUUUUAGUGACUGAGUGGCGGACGGGUGAGUAACGCGUGGGUAACCUGCCUCAUACAGGGGGAUAACAGUUAGAAAUGACUGCUAAUACCGCAUAAGACCACAGUACCGCAUGGUACAGGGGUAAAAACUCCGGUGGUAUGAGAUGGACCCGCGUCUGAUUAGGUAGUUGGUGGGGUAACGGCCUACCAAGCCGACGAUCAGUAGCCGACCUGAGAGGGUGACCGGCCACAUUGGGACUGAGACACGGCCCAAACUCCUACGGGAGGCAGCAGUGGGGAAUAUUGCACAAUGGGGGAAACCCUGAUGCAGCGACGCCGCGUGAGCGAUGAAGUAUUUCGGUAUGUAAAGCUCUAUCAGCAGGGAAGAAAAUGACGGUACCUGACUAAGAAGCACCGGCUAAAUACGUGCCAGCAGCCGCGGUAAUACGUAUGGUGCAAGCGUUAUCCGGAUUUACUGGGUGUAAAGGGAGCGUAGACGGAGUGGCAAGUCUGAUGUGAAAACCCGGGGCUCAACCCCGGGACUGCAUUGGAAACUGUCAAUCUAGAGUACCGGAGAGGUAAGCGGAAUUCCUAGUGUAGCGGUGAAAUGCGUAGAUAUUAGGAGGAACACCAGUGGCGAAGGCGGCUUACUGGACGGUAACUGACGUUGAGGCUCGAAAGCGUGGGGAGCAAACAGGAUUAGAUACCCUGGUAGUCCACGCCGUAAACGAUGACUACUAGGUGUCGGGCAGCAAAGCUGUUCGGUGCCACAGCAAACGCAAUAAGUAGUCCACCUGGGGGAGUACGUUCGCAAGAAUGAAACUCAAAGGAAUUGACGGGGACCCGCACAAGCGGGGGAGCAUGUGGGUUUAAUUCGAAACAACGCGAAGAACCUUACCUGGUCUUUGAAUCUCCCUGACCGGGAAGAAAUGGCGCCUUUCUUCCGGGACAGGGAUAAAAAGGGGGGGCCAGGGUUGUCCUCACCUCCUGGCCGGGAAAAAUUUGGGUUAAAUCCCCCCACAAAGGGCACCCCUAAUUUUUAUUAACACCGGGUCGGCCGGCGCCCUUAAAAGACUGCCCGGGAAACCUCUGGAAGAAGGGGGGGUGAGGCGGCACAUACCCAUCGCCCUCUUAGGAGGGGGUACAACCUGGUUCAAUUGUGUGUAAAAAAGAGGGGGAAAACCCGGGGGGGGAAAACCCAAAAAAAACGUCUCAGUUCGGAUUGUAGUCUGCAACUCGACUACAUGAAGCUGGAAUCGCUAGUAAUCGCGAAUCAGAAUGUCGCGGUGAAUACGUUCCCGGGUCUUGCACACACCGCCCGUC